CUUUUGUGGGGUGCUCGAGUGGCGAACGGGCGAGUAACACGUGAGUAACCUGCCCUUGACUUUGGGAUAACUUCAGGAAACUGGGGCUAAUACCGGAUAGGAGCUCCUGCUGCAUGGUGGGGGUUGGAAAGUUUCGGCGGUUGGGGAUGGACUCGCGGCUUAUCAGCUUGUUGGUGGGGUAGUGGCUUACCAAGGCUUUGACGGGUAGCCGGCCUGAGAGGGUGACCGGCCACAUUGGGACUGAGAUACGGCCCAG
RNAcentral lists this ribosomal RNA (256 nucleotides) under uncultured Actinomycetales bacterium. Its description in RNAcentral is "partial 16S ribosomal RNA". It matches the Rfam family "Bacterial small subunit ribosomal RNA", at positions 77 to 334 of the family's 1533-position model. The record is from RNAcentral. Lineage: Bacteria; Bacillati; Actinomycetota; Actinomycetes; Actinomycetales.